Long non-coding RNA from Helicoverpa armigera (cotton bollworm), 8091 nucleotides. RefSeq lists it as uncharacterized. The record is from RefSeq and is a predicted model, not a curated record. Lineage: Eukaryota; Metazoa; Arthropoda; Insecta; Lepidoptera; Noctuidae. The transcript has 2 exons.
UAUUGAAAUUAUUUUAAAAAAAUCAGUAACAGUAUUCAAUGCUUCAGACUUAUGCGUAAUUUAGGAAUGCUUAAUGUUACCAGUGACUUCUAAAAUAGAUUAAGUAAUUCCCACUCAAAUUGUACAUAUAAAAGUGGAUGAAACUUAGGUAAGACUUAAAUAAUAAUUAGGUAAGUUAGGUUUAAUGUAGCGUGGUGUCAGGUAUAAAUAUCUUUAAUAACCUAUGUACAAAAUGUUCUUGAAAUAUAGACUUAUGCAAUCUACAGAAGGGGUUGUAAGCACAUCAUCAAAUAUAUAAAAAAAUACAAAUAAAAUCAUCAUUGAAGAGCAAAAAUUAUUGAAAUAAACCUGCUAAAAGAUAUUUACCAUAUUCAAAAAUAUAUUAAUUCAACACAAAAUUAACAAUCUUUAAGUCCCAUUCGAUCAAUAUAAGACCUUGGUUAAUGUAAGAUAUUCGUAUCUGACAAUGAUUUAGAGAUAAUAAACAAAGCUCCUAUAGACUUUACCAUCAUCACUAUGAACAUAAGAAAUAUUAGAUGUCAAGAUUUAAUAAACAAUUUAAAGAAACGCACUACGUAAUUACUGAAGGUACAAUCUCGUGACACAAAAAAAAAAACAACUAGUCCAACUAAAAUCAUCUAUUUAUUAACACCUGUAUUGACUUGACCAAAGUAAUGAAGAUAGCUGAAAUCUAAGCAAUAUAAUUUUGGAAUUGAAAUGAAUGAAUUUCACAGAACGUUACCACUUUAGCAUCAGAUCAUCAGAGCAUAGCAUCAGACAUCUCAAAAAGAACUGCAUAUGCAUGUUAAAAAUUGAAAGAUUCUGUCACACAUCUAUGUAGCUUUGACUAUUACCUCUAAAACUACCACAGAGCUACUAACGUAUAGACAUAUACAAUACUAGGUUAAUUACAAUUAAGAACUUAACACAAAUGCAUAUGUGUUAUUUAAUACGUAAGGCAUAUGCAUUUGAUUAAGAUUGUACAUUAAUUGCAAAUAGACCUAUAACAAGUGACAUGUAGUAUGACAGCGAUCUGAAGUAGAUGUAUAGAAUAAUAUACCUAGAUUUAAGUUCCUACAUUUUAUUUUAUUCAACUAGUAUAGUUAUCUUCAAUAAAGCUAGAUUUGAUAAAAUAAAUUAACAUCUAUUAAAUAAUAUUUCGAAAAAAAUAUUAAAAUCAGCAAUCUGAGUUUUACUCCAGGUCGAAAAUCCUAUAGGUACUAUCAAACAUUGGAAAAUAAAUAUAUGAAAAAAAAAACAAAAGAUACUAAACGGUUGAAUAAAGAAUGGUGUAGGUAUAUUAGUUGUAACUUUAAUUUAAGGUAGUUUUUAAUUGUUUAAGGAUAGAUAUUAAUUUAAGACGGUACAGUGGUAGAAAUAGAUGAUUUGAUAACACCAAAACUACGAAGCAAACAACAAAAAUAACUAUAUCAAAUUUUAAAUUAUCACCUAUGAUAAAUUUAAAGAGCAAAAUACUUGACUUGCUAAGUUCAGGAUACAACAAAAAAUAACUAUCAACAUCAUGAAAAAAAUAUGUAACGUAUCAUUUUGUGACUGUAUCGUCUCAUUUUAAUGUCCCAAUUUGUAAAUAUAUUUUGGAGCAAAGCCGAGUAAUAGGAGAUACGAACAAAUAGGUAUAAAAUAGAUAUACGCACAAUAACGUGGAUUAGUAUUAUAUUUGUCAAUACUUUCUAUAUGUGAUAAAACUUAAUACCAGCAGAGGAAAAAAAACAUUAUUAACACCAAUAUUUAAAAAAACAGCUACGCUUACGCAUCAAAAUUUAAUUCAACAUCAAAUCACGAUUAACCUCAUUCGGCAAUACUUCCAAUUCCAUUCAUAUUUGUGAAAACCAACUGACACAAUACUGCAGAAGUUUUUUGUCACUUACAGAAAGUACUGAUCAUUUUAAGUAAGUCCAACACAACCAUAGUUAUUAAAACUAAUAGAAUGAACGACUGUCUCCAAUGAGAACGAGAGAAAACCACCAUAUUUGAAAUUUACGAUCAUACAAUAUUUUACUACGAGACGUAGCUUGCUACGACGAUGCUACGCGGUUGCUACGCGCCAAAUUUCAAAACAAAUUCGACUCUAACUGGAAUGAAAUACCAUAUAAACUCAUUUGCCAACUACUAUUUAUAUCCGAAAGUCACAAGUGAAUUAAACACAAUAAACCAAUAUUUUUUUAAAAAUACUGGUAAUUAUAAAUCUUUGGACAAAUCACAGUCAGAUUUCAACUCUGUUGAAAUUAUGCAUACUUAAUAAUCAAAUACAGACUUAUUAAAAUCUAGAGGCGCCAUAAUAAAUACUGUUUACAUCUGGGAACAACUCGUCCAUUCUAUUUGUUUUAACUCUAUAGUUUUGUUAGGUAGAAUAGGUAGGUUGUAAGAUGUACAUAUUCCUGCAUGGAUGAAACACAAAAAGGACGGUUAAAGUAGAUAAAAAUAGAAACAAUAACUAUCGAAAAUCAAAAUCAAAACUAGGUUAUAACUAGGUAAGUCUAGAAUAUAAAUAGGUAAGCCUAGAAUAUAACUAGGUAAGGUCUAGAAUGUAAGUUAGGUUAGAAACAAAGCAUCUUUGUGCGAAUGUGGUUUUAAAAAGAAAUAGAAGUGAAGUAGAAGAGGUUUAGCUUGGAACAGGCCAAAGGAGGUUUUAUUUAAACAUUUUUUUUAAAGAUUGUAUAAAUUCCAAGUACAAAAGUUAAAUAAAAAAAAAACAGGCAAAGUUACCAUCAUGAUACAGGAAGGAUUUUUAACAUCACAGUAACACUUUUAAGGAGGUUAACAUCAAUCAGCAUUAUCAUCAUCAUCACCAUUAAACAUUAUCAUCAACUUUCUGUAAUAAUCCCAAUUUAUUUAGCGAUCAUUACAUCAUAAUAUCUACUUCAUCCAUACUUUUCUAUCAGACCUCAUCGCAUUUGUCACCUUCUUGAUUCACCAUCGAUUCUAAAUUUGAAUAGGCGCGAAAAAAGUUUGAAAUAAACCUCUUUCGGCUUGUUCAUAGAUAAAUACAUCUUUAGAGCUACGGCUCCUUCGCUAGUAAGUGUAAUAUACUGGUUAAGGGUUAGUAAAAACUGGGUAAGAUUCAUAAUAAAUAAGUAAUAUUAAGAUAUAAAUAAGUGCAUGAUAAUAUUAAGUCUAACAAUAAUAAUUAGGUAAGUUUUACUUAAGGAUCUAGGCGUAGGAAAUUAUACACAUUUCGGGUUCAAUUAUUAGCAUAUAAGGUAUUAUCCAAUCAUAUCAAUGUCAGCACUUUUCGCUGAAAAUAUAACACUGCCGUUUUUAAUGGAUUUCGCAAUAGCUACAACAUAGAAAAACUCGUAAAAAUCAGUCAAUCGCGGGUAAAUUGCACACAACAGGUCAAACUGAGGUCGUCACGUUUUGAAGUAGGUUAAAAAUAUCUUAGAACAAAAAUACACUUAAAACAGGCUGUUUAAAAAAUAACCCAAAAAAAAUAAAAUAAAUAGUACAACAACUUAAUCAAUGGUCAGGUUGCAACAACACGCAUUUGGACAUUAAGACCAAAUUAACAUUGCAGAACAACGCAAUACAUUCUACAAAAUAAACCAUAUAGUUACAAAAAAUUUAACUUAAAAUCAUUUAAAUUAACUAAAGCAUCAGUAAAAAGUACGAACUAUACCAACAUAUAGAAGUAAAAGUAACACUUAUAAAAAUUAAAAGAAUUAUAUUGAAUUUAAGAGCAAAAAUAUUUGGAUGAACAAAGCAUUAAGAAAAAAUAGAAAGGACAACUGUGUCGCUUGCAUUAUCCAAACAAAUAGUGGUGUUAUAUUAACAGCCGAGGUAGCAAGGCAGUUAGGUAAUACUUAGUCUAGAACUAGUUUAUAUAACUAUAUUCUAAGGCGGAACCCGCAUGAAUCCUACAUACGACAGCGUUCACGGUAAUUAGAUUGUAAGAAUACGACCCAUGAUGUCGUUAGUUAAGUUAGACAUAAGUUCUGUAGGGAUAUUGUGUCGCUAUCUCAUGACAUGGGUUAAAAAAACAACUUGGAAAGAACAACUUGAAAAAAAAAUGCUUUGAUGAUCACAUCAGAAAAUGCCAGCAGUACAGAAUAAGGUAAAUAGAAAAUAGCAAAAAAAAUCUUAGUUGAAAAUCUGGUUUUCGAAAAAACAUUAAAAUUGGACAACAUACGUUUAUAAGAUCACACUCGAAAUUUCCGAAAAAAAUCUGUAAGAACUGUUAUGAGGAAGCGACAUAAUAUAAUUUAGAAUGCAAUAAAACAGCUGUAUUCAACAAUUCUAAAGUAAAAACACGCGGUGAAAUUAUAACUAAAACCUAGUUCGGAAUUACAUAAAAUCUAAUAAAACUACAUACAUUUUUGAUAUCCAUAAAAACAACAUAAAUUCGCAAAGUCUAGCUUAACAGAACCAAUAAACUCAAUAGUCAUCGGACACUCAAAAAAUUAGUACCAUCUAAAGCUUUCAUAACUCUGUAGUCAAACAAACUUUUGGCAAGCUAAUAAGCACUUUAUUGCACAAGAAAUAAGGUAGAAAGUUGAGUGUAGCUGUUUUAAAGCAAUAAUAAGUUAGUUCUAAGUAGAAUAAGGGAGUCUCCGGGUGACUAUGCCACAUAAUUGGAAAACCAAAGAAAUAAAACAGUAGUGUGUAAAUAUUAAUAAUAGUUUAAAAAUAAGCGUAAUUAAGAGUAAAAUAAUAAUAAGUAUGUAAAUUGAAAAAAUCUCGCGUGUAUACUUGUCUAAUAAUAUUAUUGAUUUGGUGUGUAUAAUAGUAAAAAAAAAGUUAUUAAGAGUAAAAUAAUAAUAAGUCUGUAAAUUGAUAAAUCUCGAUGAUAUGUACUUGUCAUUUUAUAUAAAAAAGAAAAGAUAAUUAAGAUUAAAAUAAUAAUAAGUAUGUAAAUUGAUAAAUCUCGACGUAUACUCGUCAUUUUAUACAAAAAAGAAAAAGAAAAAAAAUACGUAUCUUUUGUUUAAUAAAUGUUUGGUGAUAAUAGUUUAGAAAUGGUUUAAGUGCACCAACAAUAUUGAAAAGUUAGUCUUAAAGAAAGUUCGAAGAUUCCAGAAUUAGCCAAAAGUACGAAUUAAUUGUAAAAUCUGACAAUUAAUAAAAAAAUAAGUAAACAUAAUAAUAAAACCACAACAAACAAAUAAGUUUCCAUUCGUUAGAAACACGUAAAAAAAAGUAGCAAGAAAAAGAGUAAUCAUAUAAUUUGAAACUAGAAAAUAAAAUGUAAAUUACCAUUAUUAACGCAGUCAAAAUCAAAAAAUUAUUAGUUAGAUAUUUAAGUCAAACAUUCGACAUUGUACAUAUAAAGUCGCAAUGAAGUUAAGACGUACACUAGGUAUGACUAAUAGUUAAGAUUUUUUGAAAAAUGUUUUUCUUCCAUAACAUUUUUGGGCUGCUUAAAACAGCGCCUUUUAUAUGGAAGCUUAGUUUUUAAGGUAGGAUUAAAAAAAUCUUUUACUCAUUUGGAAAUGUAACUGAAAAAACCACAGAAAACUUAAUAGAAUGCCAAUUUUUAAUUGAGUAAAUAUUAAAUGUUUAAGAAUACUCGUAUAUACUACUAAUAUAAAAAUUAUUUUAAGCGAAAUUGACGUGCUUAAUUUUUCCUUACUUAACAUAAAGAAAUAAAAAAUCCGUAUCACACAUAAUUUAGAUAUACGAAAUUAAUUUUAUGAAAAAAGUACGCAAACCUGCAAUAAAUAAGUUUAAGUUAUUAACACAGUUUGGGCCUGGUUUCCAUCAAUAACAAAAUUCUUAAGUAAAGAUAUAUCAACAUGACUUGACUUAACAUCAUAUCAAGUCUUUUAAACUCAGAAGAAGCUUCGUAAUUAUCAUCAUCAUCAUCAUCUCAGCCAUAGGACGUCCACUGCUGAACAUAAGCCUCCCCCUUAGAUCUCCACAGAUACCUGUUGGAGGCGACCUGCAUCCAGCGUCUUCCGGCGACCUUUAUAAGGUCGUCUGUCCACCUUGUUGAUGGACGUUAUAUCCAUUUAAAAUACAAUAUUUAAAAUAUGGCCGUUUAACAUCUAGUACUUUCUUAUCUCUGUGGAAUAAAAUCAUAGGAUUGUAAUUUUAACAUCGCGUUGUUUGAGAUAUAAAAGUCACUAUAUUAUGACCAAAGCCCAUUUAAUACAAAAAAAACUCCUACUAAUAUACUAUGUGCCAUAUAAGUCAGUAUACUCUAAAAAUGACAUCUGUAUUUUAAACUAUUAUCAAUGCCAUUUUCGGCUAUAAAAUUGUCGCGUAAAAAAACCGCCGAGUUCUCGCACAAUAUAAAAACAAGUAAGGAAAAAUGGAGUACCUUAAUUUAAAAUACUACUCAUAAUUCUAGUCACUAGUAUUAUAACUUAUAAUUUAUAAGAUCUUAUAACUUAUAAGUGUGUAUAUUAUAAAAUAUUGUACCAGAUGGAACUGCAACGUAACUACUAAUCUAGUCGAUGUCGCCCGUUCGUAACGGAGUUUAGAUAUAAGAAAUAAACAUUAAAUGAUAAUAAUUAAUUAAGGUAAAAACCUAAGAAGCAAGAUGAUUGGGGGGAUGGAGUAUUUCUUAAAUAAGUAGUUUAUUUAUAGGGUUACUAUGUGCUCUCGAUUUUUAUAUCUUAAUGACAAUGAUAACUGAUGCUAUACUAUACACUUUGAGAAGAAACACCGAAACAAACUCUAGGGUCACAGUCACUUUAAAGUACCAGGUACCUAAAUUUUAAAAAGUCACCAUGGAUGAAGAACAUAGGCUCGUAUAUAAUAAUAUGUAACUUCUGAAUGAAAAAUUCUCCAAAAACACCAGUAAAAAUUAAUAACAAAAAAGGUACUGGCCAAUUAAUAACACAACUUACACCAUACUACUUAUUGACAUGAAAACUCAAACCUUUUCGUCAUCAUGAAAAAAAAUAUUCGUCGCCAUCAAAUUGCCAAAAUUUGGAACGACCAUACACAACAUCAAAGCACAGGUUUACAAAUCGUUAUAGAUAUAAAAAUAGAGAUUCUACAUAUAUUUUAGGGUUAUUUUAUAAGUAGGAUAAAAAUUAAUUUAUGUUCUGCAAUUGUGCAGUAUUUAGUUUUUUCGGAAUCAUAGCUAAUAUAUCUAAGAAUGGUAUCUUACUGGUACUGGUAAUACCAUUCUUACUGGUAUUUGGUAUGUCUUAAAACAGCAUGCGUUUGGUAAAUAUUAUAUAAGAACUAGCUUUUGCCCGCAACUUCGUUCGCGUGGAAUAGUGACUACCAGCAGAUUUUUGAUUUGACCAAUAUAUGGCGCUAUAUGUACGGAAUAAUUUUAUUUUUAUUUUUUUUUGUAAUAAAAACUAUCCUAUGUCCUUUCUCAAGUUUCAAACUAUGUCUGUACCAAAUUUCACACAAAUCGGUUCAGUAGUUUAGGCGUGAAGAAAAGACAGACAGACAGACAGAAAGACAGACAGACAGACAGACAGAGUUACUUUCGCAUUUAUAAUAUUAGUUUGGAUAAUAAUUAAGUGUAUAAUGACAAUAGUCAAAAAACUGCAUUUGGGAAGAGUUCCAAACAUUAGUCGAAAUAAAAUAAGGUUACCUCUAAGUAUUAAUUUAAUCUAGUUAUAAAAAUAUUUAAGGUAUUCCAUAUAAGUUUACCUACUAGCGAAUUUUAAUAAGGUCUAAUAUUAAGUAUUUAUUAAGUGGUGUGGGCUCGAAGUCUAUAUAUUUAAAUGUGUCUUAAAUUGGUAUAUAUUUAUAUAUCUUAAAAAAUAAUUGGGAAUAUAGUCAAUUAUAAAAAAGUGAUGUAAAUCGAACGAAUUUUUCCAAAAAAUGUAAUUGACUUACAAGUCAGAUAAAAAUGAUAAUAAUCAAAAUUGUGAUAAUAUUUUCAAUUGACAACCAGGUUUUUAAGAUCACCUAUUUUAAUAAGCUUAUGUAAUUAUUAUUUAACAUUUUCGAAACUUUUUAAGUGACAAAAUUAAAAUAAUAUACUUGUAAGAUUCGAGCCCUAUUUUAGACCAUUUACCCAUUGAAUGGAUUUCGCAAAAUUUUCAAGAUUUUACAAAAAUAUAAUCCUGACACACAUUGGCAGUAUUGCACACUUACUCAACAUUAUAUACAUACAUACACUCACACACACAUACAAUAUCAUAUACAAUACACACACACACA